RNAcentral lists this long non-coding RNA (478 nucleotides) under Nicotiana benthamiana. Its description in RNAcentral is "long non-coding RNA (NBEN_LNC009123)". Lineage: Eukaryota; Viridiplantae; Streptophyta; Magnoliopsida; Solanales; Solanaceae. The record is from RNAcentral.
UGAAGCAUUACAGACUGCAAAGAAAAUAUGUUCUGAGAAGGGUCCAAAAUUUGAGCGAGAUGUGGAUUCAACGACUGGAUCCAACUUUGACAGUAGAGGGAACAUUAUAUGCAGCUCUAGUGACCAAUCACCUUUAACUGCAUCACCAGAAUCACACACAGUUAACUCGUUUGUUGACUAUGAACCAUUCAUUGGAGAUGGAAAAAUGUCAAUCAGAUAAGAUGCUUUAUGUUAGAGGGGCUGCAUUUGAAGCAUUACAGACUGCAAAGAAAAUAUGUUCUGAAAAGGGUCCAAAAUUUGAGAGAGAUGUGGAUUCAACGACCGUAUCCAACUUUGACAGUAGAGGGAACAUUAUAUGGAGCUCCGGUGACCAAUCACCUUUAACUGCAUCACCAGAAUCACACACAGUUAACUCGUUUGUUGACUAUGAACCAUUCAUUGACUCCCCUCUUUCAAUAAAUCAGGGUAACGAUAGAAG